This is a long non-coding RNA of Cyprinus carpio (common carp), 402 nucleotides long. Lineage: Eukaryota; Metazoa; Chordata; Actinopteri; Cypriniformes; Cyprinidae. The record is from Ensembl.
UACUUCAGGAUGUCCCAGCAAGGUAAAAGAACAGUACAGGAGUGCGUUGUGAUAUCAGUGACUGGUCUGACGCGGCAACAUUAGUCUCAUACAGGGUGACCUUGUUCUCAGAAGGAACCAAUACAGUGGACAACUGACGUAAAACUGUCAUCUGCAGCCUUAUCCUGUACCUCGACAAGAAAGAAGAAGAGCUAUUUGAAAAAUAUAAUUCCAGAUUUGUGUUGGAUGGAGUAAAAUGGAUUUUUCUUUUCUUUAGGGGAAAUUGUUGAUUGUUGGUUGCUUCUACAGUUAUUGUAAAUGAUCAGAGAGGUUACUGAAUGUACCUUAACUACUAAUCAGUUGAUGUGAAGAUGUGAAUGUUGACAUAAUAAACUGUUCAACUUUAUUGUAUUUAAUUGUGAU